UGCAUAUCCAAAUAAGCGGAGGAAAAGAAACCAACAGGGAUUGCCUCAGUAGCGGCGAGUGAAGCGGCAAAAGCUCAGAUUUGAAAUCGUGUUUCGGCACGAGUUGUAGAUUGCAGGUUGGAGUCUUUGUGGAAGCGUGUGUCUAAGUCCCUUGGAACAGGGUGCCAUUGAGGGUGAGAGCCCCGUGAGACGCGUGCGGAAGCUGUAAGGCCCUUCUGACGAGUCGAGUUGUUUGGGAAUGCAGCUCUAAGUGGGUGGUAAAUUCCAUCUAAGGCUAAAUAUUGGCGAGAGACCGAUAGCGAACAAGUACUGUGAAGGAAAGAUGAAAAGCACUUUGAAAAGAGAGUGAAACAGCACGUGAAAUUGUUGAAAGGGAAGGGUAUUGGGCUCGACAUGGGAUUUGCGCACCGCUGCUCCUUGUGGGCGGCGCUCUGUGCUUUUCCUGGGCCAGCAUCGGUUUUUGCCGCAGGAGAAGGCGUGCUGGAAUGUGGCUCUUCGGAGUGUUAUAGCCAGUGCGAGAUGCUGCGUGCGGGGACCGAGGACUGCGACAUCUGUCUCGGAUGCUGGCACAACGGCGCAAUACCGCCCGUCUUGAACAACCGGACCAA
RNAcentral lists this ribosomal RNA (608 nucleotides) under Pichia kudriavzevii. RNAcentral's name for it is "partial large subunit ribosomal RNA". It matches the Rfam family "Eukaryotic large subunit ribosomal RNA", at positions 37 to 669 of the family's 3401-position model. The record is from RNAcentral. Lineage: Eukaryota; Fungi; Ascomycota; Pichiomycetes; Pichiales; Pichiaceae.